UCCAGUGUAGCUUAACAGAUAGAGCAUUGUGCUUGCAACCCAAAGGUUCUGAGUUCAAUUCCCACAGAGGGU
Non-coding RNA from Dallia pectoralis (Alaska blackfish), 72 nucleotides. NCBI's taxonomy places the organism in Eukaryota, Metazoa, Chordata, Actinopteri, Esociformes, Umbridae. The record is from the annotation of a GenBank genome assembly.